UACCAGCACCCCGAGUGGUCGGGACGAUUAUUGGGCCUAAAGCAUCCGUAGCCGGUUUUACAAGUCCUCCGUUAAAUCCAGCUGCUUAACAGAUGGGCUGCGGAGGAUACUAUAAGACUAGGAGGCAGGAGAGGCAAGCGGUACUCAGUGGGUAGGGGUAAAAUCCGUUGAUCCAUCGAAGACCACCAGUGGCGAAGGCGGCUUGCCAGAACGCACUCGACGGUGAGGGAUGAAAGCUGGGGGAGCAAACCGG
Molecule: ribosomal RNA, 253 nt
Filed under: uncultured bacterium
Lineage: Bacteria
Description: partial 16S ribosomal RNA
Rfam family: Archaeal small subunit ribosomal RNA
Source: RNAcentral